GUAGGUGAACCUGCGGAAGGAUCAUUACAUUCAGUAGCUUGCUACUGUUAGGGGGGUCUAUGAGUCUGUAUAGUAUCACUACUGAUGAGCAGCAUGACCCUCUGUCUAUACCCUUGUCUUUUGCGCACUCAUGUUUCCUCGGCGGCUUGAUACCCGCCGGUUGGAUCAUUCUAUAACCUCUUUAAUUUUCAAUCAGCGUCUGAAAAACCUAAUAAUUACAACUUUCAACAACGGAUCUCUUGGUUCUGGC
This 250-nucleotide unclassified non-coding RNA is filed under the name plant metagenome. Its description in RNAcentral is "partial contains small subunit ribosomal RNA, internal transcribed spacer 1, and 5.8S ribosomal RNA". The record is from RNAcentral.